CCUACGGGUGGCUGCAGUGAGGAAUAUUGGUCAAUGGACGAGAGUCUGAACCAGCCAAGUAGCGUGAAGGAUGACUGCCCUAUGGGUUGUAAACUUCUUUUAUAUGGGAAUAAAAUGUUCCACGUGUGGGUUUUUGUAUGUACCAUAUGAAUAAGGAUCGGCUAACUCCGUGCCAGCAGCCGCGGUAAUACGGAGGAUCCGAGCGUUAUCCGGAUUUAUUGGGUUUAAAGGGUGCGUAGGUGGGUUGUUAAGUCAGUUGGGAAAGUUUGCGGCUCAACCGUAAAAUUGCAGUUGAAACUGGCAGUCUUGAGUACAGUAGAGGUGGGCGGAAUGCGUGGUGUAGCGGUGAAAUGCUUAGAUAUCACGCAGAACUCCGAUUGCGAAGGCAGCUCACUGGACUACAACUGACACUGAGGCACGAAAGUGUGGGUAUCAAACAGGAUUAGAUACCCCGGUAGUC
RNAcentral lists this ribosomal RNA (460 nucleotides) under uncultured bacterium. Its description in RNAcentral is "partial 16S ribosomal RNA". It matches the Rfam family "Bacterial small subunit ribosomal RNA", at positions 338 to 795 of the family's 1533-position model. The record is from RNAcentral.